CCUACGGGGGGCAGCAGUAGGGAAUAUUGCUCAAUGGGGGAAACCCUGAAGCAGCAACGCCGCGUGGGGGAUGAAGGUUUUCGGAUUGUAAACUCCUUUUGUUAGAGAAGAUAAUGACGGUAUCUGACGAAUAAGCACCGGCUAACUACGUGCCAGCAGCCGCGGUAAUACGGAGGGUGCAAGCGUUACUCGGAUUCACUGGGCGUAAAGGGCGCGUAGGCGGGAUAGCAAGUCAGAUGUGAAAUCCUGUGGCUUAACCAUAGAACUGCAUUUGAAACUGUUAUUCUAGAGUAUGGGAGAGGUAGGUGGAAUUCGUGGUGUAGGGGUAAAAUGCGUAGAUAUCAAGAGGAAUACUCAUUGCGAAGGCGACCUGCUAGAACAUAACUGACGCUGAGGCGCGAAAGCGUGGGGAGCAAACAGGAUUAGAUACCCUUGUAGUC
Molecule: ribosomal RNA, 440 nt
Filed under: uncultured bacterium
Lineage: Bacteria
Description: partial 16S ribosomal RNA
Rfam family: Bacterial small subunit ribosomal RNA
Source: RNAcentral